Molecule: long non-coding RNA, 330 nt
Organism: Nothoprocta perdicaria
Lineage: Eukaryota; Metazoa; Chordata; Aves; Tinamiformes; Tinamidae
Exons: 3
Source: RefSeq, a predicted model, not a curated record
UUUAAUCUUCACAUUCUGAUUUUUCGUGACAUCUAUUACAGGAUGUGAUUGCCACAAUACCCGACUGGACCUAGGAAUGAGAGCCCCAAGUCACUGUGUAUCAUGCAGUGUUGUCUAUUCACCUUACAUGAAGAAGGAUGUUGGCUUACACACAGAAGUGGGAAUUUUUCUCAGUAAUACUUACAGAACUACAAGCAUGAUAUUUCAUAGCAUACACAGCGUACAUUUGGGCCACGCUGCAUACUAGUGAGAAAGCUGCCUUCACUGUGCACCAAAGUGUGUCUGAACUCCAGCCUCCUGUGAAGAUGAAGCCGUGAGUGACGCUCUCAU